Perognathus longimembris pacificus (Pacific pocket mouse) is the source of this 399-nucleotide long non-coding RNA. RefSeq lists it as uncharacterized. The record is from RefSeq and is a predicted model, not a curated record. NCBI's taxonomy places the organism in Eukaryota, Metazoa, Chordata, Mammalia, Rodentia, Heteromyidae. The transcript is spliced from 3 exons.
AGCCACCAGUGCCUGGCUACAUACACUUUAAACAUAACAAUUCUCAAAUUCUAAUCUGGAGAUUCCUAAAUUCUCAUUCAUUGGGAUGCCCUGAUAUAAUAUCAGAGGAUAUCAUAUCAAAUCAUCAAUGUGAAAAUCUCAAAGGAAAAACUAUGUACAAUUUUUCCAUAGACAUGGAAGUGGGAGGAAACAAUCACAAGAUAUUGAUUUGACACUUUUAACAAGUGUAAGAUAGGGAACGUGAGUUAGGACUAUUAGGUCUCUAUCACUUUUUAUGUGGCUAUGGUGACAGGGAAGGGUUCCUCAAAUGUAAAAAAGUUUCAGAAUGUCAUACAACCAAUUCAUCAGAAGACUGAAUGUCUUUCCCCCAUAUAAUACAGUAUAAUGAACAGUAAUAGG